RNAcentral lists this ribosomal RNA (253 nucleotides) under uncultured bacterium. RNAcentral describes it as "partial 16S ribosomal RNA". It matches the Rfam family "Bacterial small subunit ribosomal RNA", at positions 524 to 776 of the family's 1533-position model. The record is from RNAcentral.
UACGUAGGGCGCAAGCGUUGUCCGGAAUCAUUGGGCGUAAAGAGCGCGCAGGCGGUCGUUCAAGUCGCGUGUGAAAGCCCCCGGCUCAACUGGGGAGGGUCACGCGAUACUGAUCGACUCGAAGGCAGGAGAGGGUAGUGGAAUUCCCGGUGUAGUGGUGAAAUGCGUAGAUAUCGGGAGGAACACCAGUGGCGAAGGCGACUACCUGGCCUGUUCUUGACGCUGAGGCGCGAAAGCUAGGGGAGCAAACGGG